Molecule: ribosomal RNA, 497 nt
Filed under: uncultured bacterium
Lineage: Bacteria
Description: partial 16S ribosomal RNA
Rfam family: Bacterial small subunit ribosomal RNA
Source: RNAcentral
GACGAACGCUGGCGGCGUGCCUAAUACAUGCAAGUAGAACGCUCAAGCUUGGUGCUUGCACCGCGCGGAUGAGUUGCGAACGGGUGAGUAACGCGUAGGUAACCUGCCUCUUAGCGGGGGAUAACUAUUGGAAACGAUAGCUAAUACCGCAUAAAAGUCUACAUCGCAUGAUUUUGACUUGAAAGGUGCAAUUGCAUCACUAAGAGAUGGACCUGCGUUGUAUUAGCUAGUUGGUGAGGUAACGGCUCACCAAGGCGACGAUACAUAGCCGACCUGAGAGGGUGGUCGGCCACACUGGGACUGGGACACGGCCCAGAAUCCUACGGGAGGCAGCAGUAGGGAAUCUUCGGCAAUGGGGGCAAACCUGACCGAGCAACGCCGCGGGAGGGAAGAAGGGUUUCGGAUCGUAAAGCUCUGGUGUAAGAGAAGAACGAGUGGGGGAGUGGAAAGUGCACACUGUGACGGUAACUGACCAGAAAGGGACGGCUAACUACGUG